UACAGAGGGUGCGAGCGUUAAUCGGAAUUACUGGGCGUAAAGCGUGCGUAGACGGUUAUUUAAGUCGGGUGUGAAAGCCCCGGGCUCAACCUGGGAACUGCAUUUGUGACUGCAUCGCUGGAGUGCGGCAGAGGGGGAUGGAAUUCCGCGUGUAGCAGUGAAAUGCGUAGAUAUGCGGAGGAACACCGAUGGCGAAGGCAAUCCCCUGGGCCUGCACUGACGCUCAUGCACGAAAGCGUGGGGAGCAAGCAGG
This 253-nucleotide ribosomal RNA is filed under the name uncultured bacterium. Its description in RNAcentral is "partial 16S ribosomal RNA". It matches the Rfam family "Bacterial small subunit ribosomal RNA", at positions 524 to 776 of the family's 1533-position model. The record is from RNAcentral.